AUCAACGCUGGCGGCGCGCCUAACACAUGCAAGUCGAGCGAGAAAGGGAGCAAUCCUGAGUAAAGCGGCGUACGGGUGAGUAACACGUGGAUCAUCUGCCCUUUUGUGGGGAAUAACUUUGGGAAACCGAGGCUAAUACCGCAUAAGUCCGAGAGGAGAAAGCAGCAAUGCGCAGAAGGAGGAGUCCGCGGCCGAUUAGCUAGUUGGUGAGGUAAUGGCUCACCAAGGCUUCGAUCGGUAUCCGGCCUGAGAGGGCACACGGCCACACUGGCACUGAGACACGGGCCAGACUCCUACGGGAGGCAGCAGUGGGUAAUCUUGCACAAUGGGGGAAACCCUGAUGCAGCGACGCCGCGUGAGCGAUGAAGCCCUUCGGGGUGUAAAGCUCUUUCGACGGGAACGAUAAUGACGGUACCCGGAGAAGAAGCUGCGGCUAACUACGU
This 443-nucleotide ribosomal RNA is filed under the name uncultured bacterium. RNAcentral describes it as "bacterial SSU rRNA". It matches the Rfam family "Bacterial small subunit ribosomal RNA", at positions 32 to 506 of the family's 1533-position model. The record is from RNAcentral.